GACGAACGCUGGCGGCGUGCUUAACACAUGCAAGUCGAACGGAAAGGCCCUGCUUUUGUGGGGUGCUCGAGUGGCGAACGGGUGAGUAACACGUGAGUAACCUGCCCCUGACUUUGUGAUAACUUCUGGAAACUGGGGCUAAUACCGGAUAGGAGCUCCUGCUGCACGGUGGGGGCUGGAAAGUUUCGGCGGUUGGGGAUGGACUCGCGGCUUUUCAGCUUGUUUGUGGGGUAGUGGCUUACCAAGGCUUUGACGGGUAGCCGGCCUGAGAGGGUGGCCGGCAUCUUUGGGACUGAGAGACGGCCCAGGCGCCUACGGGAAGCAGCAGUCAGGAAUAUUGCACAAUGGGCGGAAGCGUGAUGCAGCAACGCCGCGUGCGGGAUGACGUCCUUCUGGUGGUAAACCGCUUUCGCCUGUGACGAAGCGUGCGUGACGGUAAUGGGUAAAGAAGCACCGGCUAACUACGUG
RNAcentral lists this ribosomal RNA (468 nucleotides) under uncultured bacterium. Its description in RNAcentral is "partial 16S ribosomal RNA". It matches the Rfam family "Bacterial small subunit ribosomal RNA", at positions 28 to 507 of the family's 1533-position model. The record is from RNAcentral.